UAAGAGAGCAAGCAGGGGCUGAU
This 23-nucleotide unclassified non-coding RNA is filed under the name Mus musculus (house mouse). RNAcentral describes it as "oocyte_clustered_small_RNA14159". The record is from RNAcentral. Lineage: Eukaryota; Metazoa; Chordata; Mammalia; Rodentia; Muridae.